RNAcentral lists this ribosomal RNA (425 nucleotides) under uncultured bacterium. Its description in RNAcentral is "partial 16S ribosomal RNA". It matches the Rfam family "Bacterial small subunit ribosomal RNA", at positions 354 to 796 of the family's 1533-position model. The record is from RNAcentral.
GUGGGGAAUAUUGGACAAUGGGCGCAAGCCUGAUCCAGCCAUGCCGCGUGAGUGAUGAAGGCCUUAGGGUUGUAAAGCUCUUUCAGUAGGGAAGAUAAUGACGGUACCUACAGAAGAAGCCCCGGCUAACUUCGUGCCAGCAGCCGCGGUAAUACGAAGGGGGCUAGCGUUGUUCGGAUUUACUGGGCGUAAAGCGCACGUAGGCGGAUUGGUCCGUUCGAGGUGAAAUCCCGAAGCUCAACUUCGGAACUGCCUUUAAUACUGCCAGUCUCGAGUCCGGAAGAGGUGAGUGGAACUCCUAGUGUAGAGGUGGAAUUCGUAGAUAUUAGGAAGAACACCAGUGGCGAAGGCGGCUCACUGGUCCGGUACUGACGCUGAGGUGCGAAAGCGUGGGGAGCAAACAGGAUUAGAAACCCCAGUAGUCC